CAGCCGCCGCGGGAAUACGUAGGUGGCAAGCGUUGUCCGGAAUUAUUGGGCGUAAAGCGCGCGCAGGUGGUUUAAUAAGUCUGAUGUGAAAGCCCACGGCUCAACCGUGGAGGGUCAUUGGAAACUGUUAAACUUGAGUGCAGGAGAGAAAAGUGGAAUUCCUAGUGUAGCGGUGAAAUGCGUAGAGAUUAGGAGGAACACCAGUGGCGAAGGCGGCUUUUUGGCCUGUAACUGACACUGAGGCGCGAAAGCGUGGGGAGCAAACAGGAUUAGAUACCCCUGUAGUCCCUGUCUCUUAUAA
This 301-nucleotide ribosomal RNA is filed under the name uncultured bacterium. Its description in RNAcentral is "partial 16S ribosomal RNA". It matches the Rfam family "Bacterial small subunit ribosomal RNA", at positions 509 to 809 of the family's 1533-position model. The record is from RNAcentral.